Molecule: long non-coding RNA, 1025 nt
Organism: Tarenaya hassleriana
Lineage: Eukaryota; Viridiplantae; Streptophyta; Magnoliopsida; Brassicales; Cleomaceae
Exons: 2
Source: RefSeq, a predicted model, not a curated record
AUCCGGAAUCUCCGUUCUGAGGAGGCGACGCUCUCCGUCUCCCUCCCUCGGUUCCAAUCGAACCAGAAAAUCCAGAAUCCGUCAGCUACAAUGACCUCGGGAUCCGAUCAAUCUCGUAGGGUUGGCUCAAUAAACUCACCGGUUUCGUGGACGACAUAGAACGAAGAUGUCGGAUAGCUCUUCGUAUCUUCCGAGAGAGAUCAGCGGAAGAACCCCGAUCUGCUCAACCUCGUUAACGAUUUCUUCAACACCAACUCCGAAUUAUCCCUUCUCUGCGAAUCUCUGUAGACAUGUCUGGAAAAAUCUGAUCUGUGAGAAACCCUAAUUCUCGGAACUUUGUCCGGUUUGAUGGAGGAAAAAAGAGAAGAAGGGAGUUUUAGUAUAACGGGGAUUCAAAGAUUUCUCCGGCGAGUGACGACCCUUUCGUCAUAGUGAGGAUAUACGUUCAGAAUCAUUAGUGGGCGGGGAGGACAUAAAGAUCGCGGAGGAACGCGUCGUAGUUCUUAACAGUAACAGUUGCAUUCGGACAUGAAGGGAGAAGAGAAGGAGAACUUGUCUCUAGACAGGCAAAGAGGAAUCAACUUCCGAACUUCACCGACAGGCGAUACGUGACCUGGAACCGGUAGUAUCCGAGUGGCAUUCCAGUUUCAACGUGACUUCAUAGAGUCAAUUCAGGCCUGGUUCAGGCUAACCCGUGUUCCAGUCUACAACGACGAUGCCAACCAGAAAGAGCAGGUAGAUGCUUACUACUUUCGCGAUGAAUGGAAGGUUGCCUUGAUGAGAGCCAUGAUGCUAAAUAACCUUCAGAUCAGACGGGGUUGCUUGGUUGGUGCUUUCCAAGCCUUAACCAGUUUCUCUUCUCUCUAGUCUCUUCUCCGAGUCCCUUCAAACGGUAUGCACCCGUUCCUACUCUACCAAAUAGAUCAUUGUGUAUAUAUGUGUAUACAUAUAUGAGAUCAAGAAAUGUUUACAGGUUAACCAAAAAAAUAAAUCAAGGAAACUCUUUACAGUUUCAUAAAUUGUCA